AGGGGCCAUUCCACGGUUUCUGUGUCGCAGCUAACGCAUUAAGUUCCCCGCCUGGGGAGUACGGCCGCAAGGCUAAAACUCAAAGGAAUUGACGGGGGCCCGCACAAGCGGCGGAGCAUGCGGAUUAAUUCGAUGCAACGCGAAGAACCUUACCAAGGCUUGACAUAUACCGGAAACGUCCAGAGAUGGUCGCCCCGCAAGGUCGGUAUACAGGUGGUGCAUGGUUGUCGUCAGCUCGUGUCGUGAGAUGUUGGGUUAAGUCCCGCAACGAGCGCAACCCUCGUUCUAUGCUGCCAGCACGUUAUGGUGGGAACUCAUAGGAGACUGCCGGGGUCAACUCGGAGGAAGGUGGGGAUGACGUCAAAUCACCAUGCCCCUUAUGUCUUGGGCUUCACGCAUGCUACAAUGGCCGAUACAAAGGGCUGCGAUACCGCGAGGUGGAGCGAAUCCCAAAAAGUCGGUCUCAGUUCGGAUUGAGGUCUGCAACUCGACCUCAUGAAGUCGGAGUCGCUAGUAAUCGCAGAUCAGCAACGCUGCGGUGAAUACGUUCCCGGGCCUUGUACACACCGCCCGUCAAGUCAUGAAAGUCGGUAACACCCGA
Molecule: ribosomal RNA, 601 nt
Filed under: uncultured bacterium
Lineage: Bacteria
Description: bacterial SSU rRNA
Rfam family: Bacterial small subunit ribosomal RNA
Source: RNAcentral